AGAGUUUGAUCCUGGCUCAGGAUGAACGCUGGCGGCGUGCCUAAUACAUGCAAGUCGAGCGAACGGACGAGAAGCUUGCUUCUCUGAUGUUAGCGGCGGACGGGUGAGUAACACGUGGAUAACCUACCUAUAAGACUGGGAUAACUUCGGGAAACCGGAGCUAAUACCGGAUAAUAUUUUGAACCGCAUGGUUCAAAAGUGAAAGACGGUCUUGCUGUCACUUAUAGAUGGAUCCGCGCUGCAUUAGCUAGUUGGUAAGGUAACGGCUUACCAAGGCAACGAUGCAUAGCCGACCUGAGAGGGUGAUCGGCCACACUGGAACUGAGACACGGUCCAGACUCCUACGGGAGGCAGCAGUAGGGAAUCUUCCGCAAUGGGCGAAAGCCUGACGGAGCAACGCCGCGUGAGUGAUGAAGGUCUUCGGAUCGUAAAACUCUGUUAUUAGGGAAGAACAUAUGUGUAAGUAACUGUGCACAUCUUGACGGUACCUAAUCAGAAAGCCACGGCUAACUACGUGCCAGCAGCCGCGGUAAUACGUAGGUGGCAAGCGUUAUCCGGAAUUAUUGGGCGUAAAGCGCGCGUAGGCGGUUUUUUAAGUCUGAUGUGAAAGCCCACGGCUCAACCGUGGAGGGUCAUUGGAAACUGGAAAACUUGAGUGCAGAAGAGGAAAGUGGAAUUCCAUGUGUAGCGGUGAAAUGCGCAGAGAUAUGGAGGAACACCAGUGGCGAAGGCGACUUUCUGGUCUGUAACUGACGCUGAUGUGCGAAAGCGUGGGGAUCAAACAGGAUUAGAUACCCUGGUAGUCCACGCCGUAAACGAUGAGUGCUAAGUGUUAGGGGGUUUCCGCCCCUUAGUGCUGCAGCUAACGCAUUAAGCACUCCGCCUGGGGAGUACGACCGCAAGGUUGAAACUCAAAGGAAUUGACGGGGACCCGCACAAGCG
RNAcentral lists this ribosomal RNA (942 nucleotides) under Staphylococcus aureus DAR5841. RNAcentral describes it as "bacterial SSU rRNA". It matches the Rfam family "Bacterial small subunit ribosomal RNA", at positions 8 to 931 of the family's 1533-position model. Lineage: Bacteria; Bacillati; Bacillota; Bacilli; Caryophanales; Staphylococcaceae. The record is from RNAcentral.